AGCGAACGCUGGCGGCAGGCUUAACACAUGCAAGUCGAACGCUCGUCUUCGGACGGGAGUGGCAGACGGGUGAGUAACACGUGGGAACGUACCCUUUGGUUCGGAAUAACGCAGGGAAACUUGCGCUAAUACCGGAUACGCCCUUUUGGGGAAAGGUUUACUGCCGAAGGAUCGGCCCGCGUCUGAUUAGCUAGUUGGUGGGGUAACGGCCUACCAAGGCGACGAUCAGUAGCUGGUCUGAGAGGAUGAUCAGCCACACUGGGACUGAGACACGGCCCAGACUCCUACGGGAGGCAGCAGUGGGGAAUAUUGGACAAUGGGCGCAAGCCUGAUCCAGCCAUGCCGCGUGAGUGAUGAAGGCCUUAGGGUUGUAAAGCUCUUUUGUCCGGGACGAUAAUGACGGUACCGGAAGAAUAAGCCCCGGCUAACUUCGUG
RNAcentral lists this ribosomal RNA (435 nucleotides) under uncultured bacterium. Its description in RNAcentral is "bacterial SSU rRNA". It matches the Rfam family "Bacterial small subunit ribosomal RNA", at positions 29 to 507 of the family's 1533-position model. RNAcentral also lists the same sequence under 1 other name. The record is from RNAcentral.